UCCUGUGUUUCUGACUAGAUAAUCUAUGUGUCGUUAAACAGGUUUGAAGCGGGCCAGUACUUGGAUGGGAGACCAACUAGGAAAGCUGGGUUGUUGCUGGAA
This 102-nucleotide ribosomal RNA is filed under the name Paramormyrops kingsleyae. The record is from RNAcentral. Lineage: Eukaryota; Metazoa; Chordata; Actinopteri; Osteoglossiformes; Mormyridae.